CCCUUAGAUGUUCUGGGCCGCACGCGCGCUACACUGAUGCAUUCAACGAGCCUAUCCUUGACCGACAGGUCCGGGUAAUCUUUGAAUCUGCAUCGUGACGGGGAUAGAUUAUUGCAAUUAUUAAUCUUCAACGAGGAAUGCCUAGUAGGCGCAAGUCAUCAGCUUGCGUCGAUUACGUCCCUGCCCUUUGUACACACCGCCCGUCGCUCCCACCGAUUGGGUGUGCUGGUGAAAUGUUCGGAUCGGCCGUUUGUCGCGGUUUCCGCGUCAUGUGGCUGAGAAGUUCAUUAAACCCUCCCACCUAGAGGAAGGAGAAGUCGUAACA
This 325-nucleotide ribosomal RNA is filed under the name uncultured eukaryote. RNAcentral's name for it is "partial 18S ribosomal RNA". It matches the Rfam family "Eukaryotic small subunit ribosomal RNA", at positions 1470 to 1796 of the family's 1831-position model. The record is from RNAcentral.